Molecule: ribosomal RNA, 474 nt
Filed under: uncultured Nitrososphaerota archaeon
Lineage: Archaea; Thermoproteati; Nitrososphaerota
Description: bacterial SSU rRNA
Rfam family: Archaeal small subunit ribosomal RNA
Source: RNAcentral
CUGCGGCCUAUCAGCUUGUUGGUGAGGUAAUGGCCCACCAAGGCGAUUACAGGUACGGGCUCUGAGAGGAGAAGCCCGGAGAUGGGUACUGAGACAAGGACCCAGGCCCUAUGGGGCGCAGCAGGCGAGAAAACUUUGCAAUGUGCGAAAGCACGACAAGGUUAGUCCGAGUGAUUUCUGCUAAAGAGAUCUUUUGCUAGUUAUAAAACCACUAGUGAAUAAGGGGUGGGCAAGUUCUGGUGUCAGCCGCCGCGGUAAAACCAGCACCUCAAGUGGUCAGGAUGAUUAUUGGGCCUAAAGCAUCCGUAGCCGGCUCUGUAAGUUUUCGGUUAAAUCUAUGCGCUCAACGUAUGGGCUGCCGAAAAUACUGUAGAGAUAGGGAGUGGGAGAGGUAGACGGUACUCGGUAGGAAGGGGUAAAAUCCUUUGAUCUAUCGAUGACCACCUGUGGCGAAGGCGGUCUGCCAGAACACGU